Molecule: long non-coding RNA, 747 nt
Filed under: Brassica napus (rape)
Lineage: Eukaryota; Viridiplantae; Streptophyta; Magnoliopsida; Brassicales; Brassicaceae
Description: long non-coding RNA (BNAP_LNC004066)
Source: RNAcentral
GUGAUUUAGUUCAAAAUAAAAGACUAGUUUAUAGUAUGAAAAUAUAAAGUUAAGUGUCACUUUUAUUAAAGUAUAUUUAUAGUUUAGGAUUUAAGAGCAAGUUUAGUUAUACUAUAGUGUUUAGUUUUUAUUUAGAAUUAAAGGUUUUAGGGUUUGAGUUUAGGGUUAUAGAGGGUUUAUUUAGGUUUAAUAGUUUAAGCCUUAGAAUUAAAGAUACUGUUUUUUUUUAAUUUUAGAUGAAGUUUACAUGCUUACCAAACAAAGAGAUAAAGUUUUUGUGUAAAGAUUUUAAAUAUUUAUAUAAAUAACUAAUAAUUAUGUAUUGAGCAUUAUUUAUUUAGUUUAAAUAGUUAAAUUAUUUAAAGAUUAGGUUUUUGAUUUGGGGUAUAGAGAUUGUAAUUUAUGUUUAACAUUUGAGUUUGAAAAUAUUAGUUUUGGUGUUUGAAUUUAUGAUUUAGGGUAUUAUGUUUAGGUUUAAAGUGUAUGGUUUGGAAUAUAGUUUCAAGGUUAGAUUAAAGAUUUAAGAGUAAAACCUGAAAAACAUUAAUUUUUGAAUUUAAGUUUGAGAUUUAAAGUUAAAAUAAGAAUUUAAGAUUUUUAUUUAGAGUUUAGGGUUUUAAAAGUAUAUUUAGGGUUUAGUAUUUCAAAUUUUAGUGGCUAAUUCGUGAUAAAAUUGUGGCUUUUUUACACAGCCACGGAAAAUUUAGUGGCCAAACCGUAGCAAAAAAGAUAUUUUUUACAAAUUAG